Molecule: ribosomal RNA, 440 nt
Filed under: uncultured bacterium
Lineage: Bacteria
Description: partial 16S ribosomal RNA
Rfam family: Bacterial small subunit ribosomal RNA
Source: RNAcentral
CCUACGGGUGGCAGCAGUAGGGAAUAUUGCUCAAUGGGCGAAACCCUGAAGCAGCAACGCCGCGUGGAGGAUGAAGGUUCUAGGAUUGUAAACUUCCUUUUUGAGAGAAGAUAAUGACGGUAUCUCACGAAUAAGCACUGGCUAACUCCGAGCCAGCAGCCGUGGCAACAAGGCGGCUGCAACCGUUACUCGGAAUCACUGGGCGUAAAGAGUGCGCAGGCGGGCUUGUAAGUCAGGUGUGAAAUCCUGUAGUUUAACUACAGAACUGCAUUUGAAACUGUGAGUCUAGAGUGUGGGAGAGGUAGGUGGAAUUCUUGGUGUAGGGGUAAAAUGCGUAGAUAUCAAGAGGAAUACUCAUUGCGAAGGCAGCCUACUGGAACAUUACUGACGCUGAUGCACGAAAGCGUGGGGAGCAAACAGGAUUAGAUACCCCAGUAGUC